AACGGUGAACACGGAAGCUNGNNNNUGUGGGNNNNNUGGCGAACGGGUGAGUAACACGUGNGCAACCNGCCCCNGNCUCNNGGNUNNGCGCNGGNAACGGCGUCUAAUACNGGNUNNGNGNCGNGACCGCAUGGUCUGCGUCUGGAANGNNUNUCNGUNGGGGNNGGGCUCNCGGCCUAUCAGCUUGUUGGUGAGGUAAUGGNNNNNCAAGGCGUCNNCNGGUAGCCGGCCUGAGAGGGNGNCCGGCCACACUGGGACUGAGNCACGGCCCAGACUCCUACGGGAGGCAGCAGUGGGGANUAUUGCACAAUGGGCGCAAGCCUGAUGCAGCAACGCCGCGUGAGGGAUGACGGCCUUCGGGUUGUAAACCUCUUUUAGCAGGGAAGAAGCGAAAGUGACGGUACCUGCAGAAAAAGCGCCGGCUAACUACGUGCCAGCAGCCGCGGUAAUACGUAGGGCGCAAGCGUUAUCCGGAAUUAUUGGGCGUAAAGAGCUCGUAGGCGGUUUGUCGCGUCUGCUGUGAAAUCCGGAGGCUCAACCUCCGGCCUGCAGUGGGUACGGGCAGACUAGAGUGCGGUAGGGGAGAUUGGAAUUCCUGGUGUAGCGGUGGAAUGCGCAGAUAUCAGGAGGAACACCGAUGGCGAAGGCAGAUCUCUGGGCCGUAACUGACGCUGAGGAGCGAAAGGGUGGGGAGCAAACAGGCUUAGAUACCCUGGUAGUCCACCCCGUAAACGUUGGGAACUAGUUGUGGGGUCCAUUCCACGGAUUCCGUGACGCAGCUAACGCAUUAAGUUCCCCGCCUGGGGAGUACGGCCGCAAGGCUAAAACUCAAAGGAAUUGACGGGGACCCGCACAAGCGGCGGAGCAUGCGGAUUAAUUCGAUGCAACGCGAAGAACCUUACCAAGGCUUGACAUAUACGAGAACGGGCCAGAAAUGGUCAACUCUUUGGACACUCGUAAACAGGUGGUGCAUGGUUGUCGUCAGCUCGUGUCGUGAGAUGUUGGGUUAAGUCCCGCAACGAGCGCAACCCUCGUUCUAUGUUGCCAGCACGUAAUGGUGGGAACUCAUGGGAUACUGCCGGGGUCAACUCGGAGGAAGGUGGGGAUGACGUCAAAUCAUCAUGCCCCUUAUGUCUUGGGCUUCACGCAUGCUACAAUGGCCGGUACAAAGGGCUGCAAUACCGCGAGGUGGAGCGAAUCCCAAAAAGCCGGUCCCAGUUCGGAUUGAGGUCUGCAACUCGACCUCANGAAGUCGGAGUCGCUAGUAAUCGCAGAUCAGC
Molecule: ribosomal RNA, 1280 nt
Filed under: Microbacterium sp.
Lineage: Bacteria; Bacillati; Actinomycetota; Actinomycetes; Micrococcales; Microbacteriaceae
Description: partial 16S ribosomal RNA
Rfam family: Bacterial small subunit ribosomal RNA
Source: RNAcentral